CAGCUACUCGGGAAGCUGAGGUGGGAUUGCUUGAGCCCAAGAGGUGGAGGUUGCAGUGAGCUGUGACAGUGCCGCUGCAUUCCAGCCUGGGCAACAGAACACUGUCUCAAACCAAGCAAAGCUGACGAGAAAGGCUCUCAGCUGUCUGGAACUGCCCUAAUCGAUGCCCUCUUCUCUGAAGACCUGCCCCAGCCGAUGCAUAGGGGCUCAUGCGGAUAGGACUCUGCUGGCCCACCAUGUUAGAGUCACCUGUGAAGUCACCCAGGACAUCGUGCACGUCUCAUCACACAAUUCCCUGCGGAGGUGUCUCUCCUGUACUAUCCAGCUACAGCCCCGUUAACCUGAAUGACACUGAAGACAAGUUUCUGGUAUUCAUAGAACCUGUGCCUAUGAACCUCCAUUUCUUCAUCUUCUAGCCUGGAUAUUAAUUUGCCUGCUGAUCAAUGCUCAGCCAUUGGACUCACCUGGGUAAGUUGGAAACAAACUUGGCCCCUCUCCCUACCAAUGAAAUUAGAAUCCAUAGUGGGUAGGGCCCUUGCAGUGGUCACUUUUAAAGCUCCCAGAUGGCUCUAAGGUGCAGCCAGGAUUGAGACAUACUGUGCUAGCGUAGACUCUGCUCCCUGUAAGAUGCAUCGCUGUUGGCCGUACCAGGCACUCUUAAGGCUCAUCUGGGACAUUUGUACUUCAGAGUAAAUAGGGUUACAGUAAGAGAAAUUGAGAGGCUGAAGGCCUUGACAGAACUCAGUUUGUCCACCUUUUGACCACUUAGUUGGUCUUGGUGUAGGUGGGGGGAAGGGCGUGAAGGGACCGUGGAGUUCUGGAAUAAGGGCUGCCUGCCUCUGACCAUGAGUCCAGAGGUGGCAAUCAGUGUGGCCUCUGGGCUGCAUCUGUUUGUAGCAGGUACAUUCUGUUGGCCUGCAGUGUGGUCACAGGCGGUUGUUUUUAAAAAUAUGAAUGCCAGCCUUUAAAAAUUGGGUUUUUCAUAAGAGCAUUCUCUCAGAUCUGAUGGUGUCUGAUGGAAGACUUGGUGCUAAAUCAAACCAUGCACUUAGGAGUGCGAGUUCAUUAAUUCCCAUUUAGCCAGGUUACCCAAUUCAUAAGGGUGAUGACUGAAAUGGAAUAUGAUCUAACACCAAUUCCUUCUGAUUCUAUUAGAAGGCGAUGGGUUUUGAUACUGAAAUUUUAGUUUCACCAUUUUCACCUUUUGCUCUGCAACAAGCCCUUCUGAGGUUGGGCUUGAAUGAUAGAAUCUGGCUUGGGAGAUAGCAGUCUUGGGUUUAGUCUAGGUUUUGCUGUGGGAGCCUAGGGCUCUCUCUGGUUCUGAGUGUCCUCAUUUAUGUAAAACAAGAUCAAAUAAUUUCCAAGGUUCUUCUAAUUGGGAUUCGAAGAUGUGAAUGGCACAAGAAUAGAAUGGAAGACCCCCUGGUUAAAGUCAGAGUGUAAGAGGGUUAGCAAUGAAACUGGCCUGGAGAAGUCUGGGAGGGAUGUGAGGGAAGAGCUGGAGGCAAGCGGGGAAGCUACAGUGAAACGUUGGGUCCUAACCCUCCACACAGGCCAAAGAUGAAAGGGCGAUCUUGGGCGAGAGAGUGCUCCACCACUGGAGACAUCACAUGGAGGCCAGCCAGCUACUUAGAGGGCAUGAUGUGGGCAGCAGAUGGUGGAUGAGUCCCUUGUGACAUGCAGAGGUAGGAGGGAAGGAAGCAAGGAACCCCUCAUCUACUACUUCUCCUUCAAAGAACGCCGGCUGUAGGGGAGCAGGGGCUUUGUCUGUUUUGUCCCUGCUCUGUCCCCCAUGCCUGGAACCAUGCUGGGGACACAGCAGGAGCUCAGCUAACAUCCGCAGUGAAAUGCCCGCCUGCAGAAGCAGGCCGAGCCCGGCUUUGGGCGCUGACUCGAUGUUCAACUUGAGGCGAGUCCCUGCCCCUCUUGCCUCACCUCACAUGCCUCAGUGUGCCUACCUGAGAGAUGGGGGUGGGGACAGUGGCUCACAGUGUUGUGAGGUCUGUCACUGUGUUCAGCACACAGCUGGGGACCAGCGAGUGGCCGCGCCCUUAUGUGUGCUCUUUCUGUCCCUCAAGGCAGGGACCUGGCUCUGCCUCCCCAGUGCCGGCACCUAGCACAGAGCCCAGUAUACAGGGGCUUAAUUUCAGGGUUGCUGGAUUUCUAAAAGAGAAGUGAGGCAUCCAGAGAGUAUAAGAGGAGUUUUUUGGGGGGUUGGGUGAGGGGCGGAAGAAGGAAAAGUCACCUAAAAGACAAGCAUCGAUGUGGGAAGAAGGUUCGUCUGUGUGUGUGUGUGUGUGUGUGUGUGUGUGUGUGUGUGUGUGUGAGUGAGAGAGAGAGAGAGAGAGAGAGAGAGAGAGAGAGAGAACGCGCGAGCAGGGUAUGUAGGGGGGUGCCUGUACCACAUCUCUUCUCUCUUGGAGGCCUGGAACAUUCCAGCAUCUUUCAAGAUUCAGUUCAAACAAACAGUCUCCAGAAAGCUUUGCGAGGGUGUCUCUCACGCUGAACCGCUUCCCCCAGGCCUGUGCCUGUUCUCAGACUGCACACACCCACUUACUGUCACUGUUUCCCUGUCUGCCUAAAUUAUCUCUGGUUACCCUUUGGGGCUGGAGUCGUAGGCAAGAUACCCAACAAACACCAAAUGAAUGAACAAACAAAAAGCCCCUGAGGUGGGUCCCGACACCCCUCUGCCUGGCAUCCCCCUGCCCUGGUUGUGAUUGGUUUUUGGUGAAUCCUUUUAUAAGGGCUGCCUCCUGACCCUGCCUGCCUCUGCUCUCCAGCAUCUCCCUGGGGUCAGGUGGGGAGCUUACUCUGCCUGUGGAACAGAAACAUUUGCCUGGAGCCCAGGCUGGCAUUUCUGGGGUAUGGCCAGUGGAGGGCAGCAGUAUGCCACACCCAGCUGCCCUAUUUUCACAGGACUGAGUUUUGCUGGCUUGCUUUCUUUUACAAAUUUAUUUAUUUUUCCUUUGCCACUUAUUCCAGGAAUGGGCUUUUCUUUAAGACCUCACUUCUCGUUGGGUCUUACACAGAGCCUCACUCCUUUCCGGGACCCUGACUGAAACCAGUGUGAUCUGUAACAAUCUGGUUUUACCCAACUAAAAAAGAGGAAUCUCACAUCCUUUGGUCUUGACAAAUUCAGUUCACCCCAGACCUCUGGCCCUUCCCUAGUGUUGCCCCCGAAGACCCAUUUGUCUUGCUUUUUUCCCCCUCUCCUCAGCGGCUGCCCUAACAGCCCCCAGGUCUGCCUGAUUCUCUCCUGCUGGGACAUGCGGCCAGGGGUUGUAGAAA
Long non-coding RNA from Sapajus apella (tufted capuchin), 3288 nucleotides. RefSeq lists it as uncharacterized. NCBI's taxonomy places the organism in Eukaryota, Metazoa, Chordata, Mammalia, Primates, Cebidae. The record is from RefSeq and is a predicted model, not a curated record. The transcript is spliced from 4 exons.